Molecule: long non-coding RNA, 4482 nt
Filed under: Sus scrofa (pig)
Lineage: Eukaryota; Metazoa; Chordata; Mammalia; Artiodactyla; Suidae
Description: lncRNA (ENSSSCG00030020299.1)
Source: RNAcentral
GGACAGUUACAAAUGAGGCCACUGGUAUCAGCAGUGGUGGUGGUGCAGAAUUUUCGGUAGAAGUGUCCUAUGCCGACUUUUCUUUCCUUCAGUGUGAUUUUAGUGCCAGUUCUGGCCUUCUUGUGAUUUUUAGUUCCAGUUUGUUUCCCAAGUCUCUUUCUUCAGCUUUGGCAUUUUUGUGUCUUUUUUUGCAUAACUGAGAUUGCCCUUGCUCUUGCAGCCAGGAACUUUGACAGGUGUGAUUGUUAGCAGCAAUAAUUGGGCUUAAUUUCUAACUAUUUGGAGAUACAUCCUUUUUUAAUUUGAUAGCUACAGCUGUCAAAAUCUUGAAUUUCAUUUAACAUUGUAAAAGAGAAUUUGAAGGGGGGAAAAUAUAACUUUUACUUAUUUAAGUAGUGGUAUCAGAGGGAAACAAUGAAAAUUUUCAUUAAGAAUACUAUUUUCAAGAAAUUGUUCAUAUUUUUCAGCACUCUAAAAAACCUAAAGCAUUUUUGGUAGAUGUUAUUUUUCCACAUAAUUUUUAUUAUCAAAACAUGUAAUUUGUAUUGGGCAUGUAUUACUGCUGUCCUGAAAAACCUCCAUUUGAUUUCCCUUUCCAUCCCUUCCUUUUCUUAGGGUAAGGCCGCCCUCACCACCCGACUCAGAGAUGGUGAGUGUGACCCACACCUGAGCAGUCAGCAGGUUGUGUCUUCUCACACAUGUUGGUUGGUUCGAAUUGGACGAAUGUAUUUCAGUAUACUUUGAAAAAUGGCUAUCGCAGCUUCAAGCGCUACCACCUGACACAUCACAUGGGGCCUGAGAAGGAGGCCAACACAUCAGAAAGUAGAACUGAGAGGAUGGAGAGAGAGAAACUGAGUCCUGAUGAUGUAUCUGAGGCUUAAAUCCAGUUAUGCUUGAAGCCAUCCCUCCUCAUACAAUUUUAAUCCUAUAAGCCAAUACAUGACCUUUUUGCUUAUGCUAGUUUAGAGCCUAGGUUUUCUCUCACUGACAGUCCCAAUUUCUUUGGAAUAUAAAUGCUAAAUCAUCUUGAAUUGACAUCAUGGUAUAUUACCAGCACAUAUAAUCAUGUCACAUUUGUACAUGAACUAUUAACAAGGAAAAGCAACUAAUACUUGAGGGUGAAAAAUUAAUUCAGAAAGAGAUGAGCGUGAAAUUUCAAACCUUAAAUUCUCUAACACUUUGAGAUAGCUGUAUUUGUACUUUCUAUGAUUUAAAUCUAUAAACAAAUUAAGAAAGAAAAAUUUAAAAAGAAUGUUUAAGUCACGGGUUUUUUUGUUUUUGUUUUUGAUUUUGUUUUUUGGCGGGGAGCAGCACCCGCAGCAUAUGGAAGUUUUCAGGCUAGGGGUUGAAUCGGAACUGCAGCUGCCAGCCACAGCCACGCCAGAUCCAAGCCGCGUCUGUGCCCUACAACACAGCUCAUGGCAGCACCAGUUCCUUGACCCACCCAGUGAGCCAGGGAUCAAACCCACAUCCUCAUGGAUACUAGUCAGGUUCGCUAUUGCUGAGCCAUAAUGGAAACUCCUGUACACAGAUAUUUUAAGCUGGAAAGUAUAUUUAUUAAUAUAUUGCCAUUAAGUUCCCCAUCCACAUUCUCUAUCCAUGUAUUUUCCCUUUACUCAUCAUCCUUGAUCUGAAAUUGAAAAUUAUUUUCUUCAUUUCCCUCUUGCUUACUACAUCCUUGGGCAUUGAAACGGAUAAAGAAAACAACUAAUGAAAGCACUCCAGAGGAAAGAUGACUUCAAAAGAGAGAAGAGCUCAGAAACCUGUAUUAGUCAGGAUUCUUUGGGGUGCAAGUGCCACAGGCUUAACACAACUUAACUUGGUCAGUAUUGGCUGGCUCAAAUGGCUACUAUGAAACAAGAAAGAAUCUCUAGCCCCAGUCAUGGUAGGGUGCAAGGAUUCAAGUCAUGUCACUAGGGUUUUGUCUCUGCAUUGUUCAUUUUUGCUUUCCUUUGUGUUGGCUUUAUUCUCUGGCAGGUAUUCUCCAUGGAGUGCAUGCGUCCAAAUGUCUAUCAUUCUUAUAAUUCCAGACUUCAAAGAAGUGUUACUGUCAUUUUUCUCAGUGACAAUUAUAAAAAUCUCCAGGAGGGAAAAUCCCCCCAAAAACAUAUUGGCCCUACUUGAUUCUCAUGACCACCACGGUUUGGGGAUGGGAGCCCACAAUUGAUUGCUCAGUCAAUAUGACAUUGAAUGGAAUUACAAUAUUUGCAAAAAAGAAAAGAUAUCCUCUCCAGUAAGGCUGUUCUACUUCCCAUUGCAAGCUGUUCUUCUUGCUUUUGCUUCACUAGCUAAUAUUCUGUUCUUGAAUUCAGUUGAUUUAAGAUGCCUCCUAUUUAAAAGAUGAAAAUAUUUCUUCUGGUAGGAUUUGGUUUUUUUAUAUCCAGUGCAAGUUAGAUCAGAAAGGUUUCUUCUAAUAAGUAGCUGGGAUCACCUGAAUUGAGGGACGGGGGAUUUUGGCUCUGUAAAGAAAAGUAGGAAUUUUGAAGCUUGGCACUGUACAAAGUGGUAAACAGCAUGGACUUUGGAAGUCAUGUGACUUUGAGACUUCCCAACUCUGUGACCUUAGGUACAUCGCUUAAUUUUUCAAAGCAUAUUUUUUUAACCUAUAAGAUGAAAAUAAUACGUAUCUCUUCAAGUGGCUAUGAAAAUUAAAUGAGGCAAAAUAUGUAAAACAUAUAUCACAAUACACAGCACAUAGUGGGGACUUGGUAGCUGAUGGCUUACUGGGUAUUAUGAUUGCCACUAGUAAUAGUAAAACUGUCCUUUGCCACCUUUGUUCCCAAAUGGUUCCCAGCCAUCUAGAAUUAAGAGUUCAGAAAGGUUCUGUCAUUCAACUACAUUUUAAGUUUCAUGUCAACUUUUACAAAUGGGUCUGGAAGUCUUAACUGCUGUUCGUAAUGUUGGUUCUAUCAGGAGAUUUUCCUUGAACUUGAAGAAAAUAUGUGUUUGUAACACGUCAUUCUUCAGUGGCAUUUGUUACAAUUUGCUAUGUUGUUGUUUUUAAUUUAGUUUCUGCUUUUAUGAGGGCCAGACAAUCACAUGAGUAGAGUCACAGUUUGUUUAAUGAAUUACAAGAAUUAGGAAUAUAAUAUAUUCACAGAGGCUGCUGAUGGCUAUAAGAAGUUGUGUCAUAAGCAUAUGACUUGUUUUGGGGUGGGGGUGCUCCUUAACUUGGAGCCCAGUUAAGCCACAGAUGAAAUUUCGAGCUUUUUCAUUUUGUUUUUGUUGUCAGAUAUUUAGCAUUUCACUUUAAAAUCCCGGUUGUAUCUUGUGGCCUUUUACAGUGGCGGGCUGAUCUGAUGGAUUCAGUACGAGGACAUGUGAUUAUGGUAAGCAGGCAAAGAAUCCCACUGUUCUGUUAUUUUUGAGAAUAAAUUCAUGGAUGAAUAAUCUUAGAUACACAAAGCUAUAAUGAUGACUUUUAGUAUAAAAAAACUUAACAGCUAAAUCUGUUAACACUCCCAUCCCUGCUUUGCUUAAUGUAGGUGAUUAUCAUGACAUUACGGAGUCAGAGUUAGGGAGUUGAUAUUGCACUGUCUUACUUUUAACAGAGAAAGUUUACUUAUGGCUAUAGGCGAUACGUGGCAUGCUUAUAUUCAGACAUUCCUCAUGCUGUUAUUAGUUACAGAAAUACUACAUUUGCAUGUACGAAUGGUUAGUCACAAUCUAGUAUAAUGUUUAGAAAAAUACUAAUAAAGUAUACUCUACGUGAUGAAUUUUUAUCUUUGUACAUAAUGGAUAGCAUAAAUUUUCAAGGUGAUCAAGAAAAGGAGACACUGAACAAAACCUAAGAAAUAAUGGAUGUCAUGUUAGUAUGACAGAUGAUUUUCUAAAUAAAGCUUAGAGGCAUUGCUGUACCUAUAUUCCUGUCUUUGAAUAUGUGCAAAAAUAACAUCUUGGUCAUAAAAGUUUUCCCUAUAUAGAUUGUCAGUAAUUUAUAUCAAAAGUGCAUAAUCAAGAAAGGAUCAUUGUUUCUGCCAAAUAAACAUCUAUCCUUUUUUAUAUUUUCUGCAGUAAACACUUGCGGCAUUUUUAAAACAUGGGAUUUUUUGUCACAUUUUGCAGUCUAGUUCAUAGUCAUACAGUCUUCAGUUUUGCAAGCCUGUAAAAAGGUCCUUCCAUUCGUUCUCCAUUCAUUUGCUGGUAAUGUGCUUUGCAGAUUUAAUAUGAAGUUAACACCUUAGGCAAUGUUUCUUUACUUUCUAAAAUGUCAUUGUAUUUCAUGUAAAUAGUUGGGGUUUUUUAUCUUUCUUGACACUAAGUAUUAUAAGUAGAGAUGAGGACGAUUUUAUCUUUAUAGAAAUAGAAAAUCUGGGCCUUCCCUUUGUAGCUCAGUAGGUUAUGAACCCAGCUAGUAUCUGUGAAGAUGCAGGUUCGAUCCCUGGCCUUGCUCAGUGGGUUAAGGAUCUGGCCUUGCUGUGAGCUGUGGUGUAGGUCACAGAUGUGACUUGGAUCCAGUGCUGCUAUGGCUGUGGUAUAGGC